CAGUUAGUCUUCCUCCAGAAGGCGUCUGGCUGCUUGAUGCAGCUCUGGCUGCUGCACUGGGAAAGACCAACGAGGAGGUGGAAAAGUCAAAGCCUGAAAAGGCCAGCAGUGAAGUGUGGGCCACCAUUCUGGCUCUGAUCUGGCUUCAUGGUUUCAAGAUGGAUGCAAAGGACGAGUGGGAGCUUCUGGCUGCAAAGGCCGUAUCAUGGCUCAGUGCGCAAAAAGCACCAUCUGUGACCGAGUGUGUGGAAGCCAGAAAUAUAUUGUUGGGUUGCAGUGUGCAAAAAAACUGCCCUUGGCCUCUGAGGUUUUUAUUAAGCUAAU
Oreochromis aureus is the source of this 324-nucleotide long non-coding RNA. RefSeq lists it as uncharacterized. Lineage: Eukaryota; Metazoa; Chordata; Actinopteri; Cichliformes; Cichlidae. The transcript is spliced from 3 exons. The record is from RefSeq and is a predicted model, not a curated record.